Long non-coding RNA from Symphalangus syndactylus (siamang), 4959 nucleotides. RefSeq lists it as uncharacterized. NCBI's taxonomy places the organism in Eukaryota, Metazoa, Chordata, Mammalia, Primates, Hylobatidae. The record is from RefSeq and is a predicted model, not a curated record.
UGUGCACCUCCGCCCCGCCACAGCCUCACGCGCCUCACCCUUUACACGCACGGUCACUUGCCCCGCGCACCCCCGAGCCCUCCUAGCCCUGACACACAGCUGGGACUCUCAGGUCCCACCAGCGGUCCUGAACCCGCUCCCUCGGCACGGGAACUCCUUUGUGGCGAAGCAGCAGGUGGGGAAGCAGCAGCCCCUGCGCUGCCUCAUCUACAUAGAAGUCGCCCUAUCCGUGAUGUCACCGACAGUGCCUUUCCCAGUCCCUGUCUGUCUCUCUGCCACUCAGCCGACCAACCCGCUGCCGGAUCCGGCAAGGGGAAGUGACGUCUGUCUCUCCCUUUUUUCUCUUCCCACCCCGGCGUCUGUUCUCGCCCAAAGAAGCUGGUUCUCAGCCUGCGCUGCGGAGCAAACUUUCGGUGGCCAGCUGGAGCCUGGGCAUCCUUCCUCAAAUAAUGGCUUUUAAUUCGCAGACUAGAACGUUUAGGAUUACAAAAGAAACCGGUUCUCUUCACACUCUCAUCCUUGUGGUGUAGCAUUCCGCUUGAAAUUGGAAGCCGUUCAAUGUCAGAGAGAAACCAUAUUGAUGAAAUUAAAGAGGCUUCUCAGAUGACUGCAAACCAGCCUUCCUUACUGGUUUUAUCACUGUAUUGUAGAAAGAUAUGCUGCGCCAGAAGAGAUGAUUGGACACUCUCAAGCGUGGUGUUGGACUUUGUCAUCUCUUGCACAGCCAUCUCCAGACCUUAGUGCUUACCUCAUGUUAGUUUUUUAUAUCCUGCAAAGACAAAACCAAAAUAAUCCAAAUUUGACACAAAUACCUGGGAUACGUCUUAUUUGAGAUGUUUAACAAAUGUCUGGAUCGUCUUUUCUUACAUUGGAUUAUAACGAAGGAAACACUGUGAAGUAAGCAAAGUUGGAAUUCCCAAGUCAGAGACCAUUUGAAUAUUUACAAGUAGAUUUGAGACAGGAAUAGUACAGGGUGGUCACAGGGUAACAAAUUCUAGGCAGCAGAUUUACAUGACUUGAGGCUAUGGGCUGAUAAGACGCUGAAAAACCAGGGUUGUGGGCCAAGCUGGCUAAGACUGACUGGACCCAAUGUGGUGCUGGAUUUGACGUAGGUUUUACCUAGGCCCUCAUUAUAUGCUCAUUAACAUACUAAAUCACACCCCCACCAGUGCCAUGACAGUUCUGAGACCAAUAUUUGAUGUAAAAAUGGAUGGCACCACAGUUCCGAGAAAUCUCCACCUUUACCCAGGAAUUUUCAUGAAUAUUCCACUCCUUGGUUAAAGAAACCCAUCGAGAUGAAACCCCAGAACCCACUGUUCUCUCUCGGGUAUGCCUGAACUCCCCUUUCUUGAGUGUGUACUUUUUGCUUUGCAAUACAUCUCUUCUUUCACUAUUUGCUCACUCAUUCUUGACUUGGUUCUCGAGAUGGUGUCAAGAGCCUGGACACCACAGCUGGGGUCGAGAUCCCACCAGUGUCCGGGGACCUCCCCCAGCCCACCAGUAUCAGAUUCUAUUCCAUUGCUCCAAUCACAAAACAUUGAAUGGAGGGUUCUCCUUUGGAGACCAUAAAGUAAAGAUUCUGUGGCACGGUGGCCAGUUAGGCCACUGGAAGGCAUGGCAAAAUAUUGAAAAUGAGGGAUUAGGUGACAGUAUAGUAACUGCUGAAUACUAAAUACUUGAUCCAGGCCCCAUUCCCUGGAGACUGACAGGGAGACACAUCGUCCAGGUAGUAGUGGAGAAACUUUCUGGGUAUCUGACCAGGCUUUGUGGAAAGAACUGGCACCAUCCUGCACAUAUAACCGCCUGAUGGGUUCUUCCUGCCCACUGUACAUACAAAAUCAAUUCAUGGAGACCAUGGCAUUGCAGUAAAGAGUUUAAUUGACACAGGCCAGCCACGACAUGGGGGGGACAGAGUUAUUACUCAAAUCGAUCUCACUGAAGGCUUGGAGGUAAGGGGUUUUUCAAAGAUAGUUUGGUGGGGAGGGGGCUAGGGCUUGGGCGGUGCUGACUGUUGGGGAUGAAAUCACAGGGGUGUGGAAAAUGGCCCUCCUGCACUGAGCCAGCUGCUGGGUGGGGGCUAAGGGACUGGUUGAUUUUCGGGCCCAAUGGUGCCAUCCAGUAGUCAGAAAUGCAAAAGCCUGAAAAGACAUCUCAAGAGGCCAGUCUUAGGUUCUACAAUAGCGAUGUUCUUCACAGCAGUAAUUGGGGAAGCUGCAAAUCUUGUGACCUCUGGAAUAAUGGCUGGUAAUUAUUUAAUGAGGCAUACAUCUUAGUAGAAUUCAGGCCCCUUUCAUCCUCCUAACUUGGUGGCCUUUCAUUAGUUUUACAGGGGUAAUUUAGUUUUGGGGAAGGUUAUCAUUUAAACCAACCUUUUUGGCUGUCCCCAGUGUUUUUGGCACCAGGGACUGGUUUCACGGAAGACAAUUUUUCCAUGGAAGGGGGUUUCCGGAUGAAACCGUUCCACCUCAGGUCAUCCGGCAUUAGUUACAGUCUCAUAGGGAGUGCGCAAUCUGGAUCCCUCACAUGUGCAGUUCCCGACAGGGUCCGAGCUCCGAUGAGAAUCUAAUGCCGAUGCUGAUCUGACAAGAGGUGGAGCUCAGGUGGUAAUGCUGGAAAGCCUGCAGCUCACCUCCUGCUGUUUGGCUGGGUUCCUAACAGGCCAUGGACCAAUACCUGUCUUGUGGCCCUGGGGGUUGGGGACCCCUGAUUUAAACCAUAAACUCAAUUUUCCCCAAAGAUAGCUUGGGAGAAAUUGCACAGGAAUGAGCAAAGACAGCUAGCCUGUGAGGCUAGAACCAAAAUGGAGUCAGCCAUGUCAGAUUUCUCUGAUUGCCAUAAUUUUGCAAAAGUAAUUUCAGAGGGACUACGCUGGACACUUGUUAAAAGCAUGAGGCGGAUUUUAUUGUAUGUACUACAGCAGGCAAGAGAGACCAGCAGAGAACUGAGCUCAACUCCAAAUACAGCAAGAAGAGUUGAAGAUUUAUAGCCAAUCGGCAAGAUAAGAAAGUCAGUGGAUGGAACAUUACUAAGAGGAACUUGAUUAGCUAUCAAAGGUGGUUGGGAGGACUCCUGCUAAACUAGACUCAACAGUAUUCUUUUCUAAACCUGGACUUGGCAGGCCAAGAACUAAUAGAGAAAAGGGCUCAGAGGAAACUGACUAGGGUUUGGUCAAAGAUGGAGUCCUUGUCAACUCUACAUUGAAGCUUCUGCAAAUAAACGAAGACCAACCAAAUGAAAAAAAAAGCAAAGGCUAUUUAUUCUGAGCUUGCUAUGGCAGGGAGUCAGCCACUGUUACUUGUGUUUUGGCAGAGACUUGAAGGCAGUCAGAAGGGUGGGAAAGCUUUUUAAAAAGAAAGGCUUCAGGUGUGCUUGGACUGGAGGCUGUCAGCAUGGUGAAGCUAUAGAUAGAUGAAAAAAAUCAAAAUAUUUUACCCCAGGAUAUAUUUCUUUGGCAUAUUUUAAGAUGGCUGUCAGAGAGCCAGCAAACAGAAGUAACUCUGCAAAACUGCCUUUUACAGGGGAAAUUUACACCUGCAGAGAAUCUGCAUGAAUCCAGCCUUCCCUUGUCAGGAUUGAGAAAUAAAAAUAAGCCCUAGGCCCUACGACCAACUGAACGGACUCCCUCUUGGCUGACAGGGCCGCAGAGAAACCUUGAAAGCUGUUUCUGGCUGUGACAGGAUAGGAGGUCGGGCAUGCCCCCUUAAAAUCCCUCCCUCGCUAACUGCCAUUAUGAGGCAGGAGAACAGCAGAGGCAGUUGGAAGUUGGAUAAAAGGCAGAAUGAGUAAAAGCAGAAACAGAAGCAAGGUGAUGGGACGGGACAGCAAGAAGCAAGAAAAAAGGCAGAAGUUGAGUGGCCAAAACAAAAAGUAAGAUUAAAAAAAGCAAGCAAGGCUGGGCGCAGCUGCUCACCCCUGUAAUCCCAGCAGUUUGUGAGGCCAAGGCAGGCGGAUUGCCUGAGGUCAGGAGUUCGAGACCAGCCUGACCAACACAGCGAAACCCCGUUCUCUACUAAAAAUACAAAAAAAUAGCUGGGCAUGGUGAUGCUCUCCUGCACUCCCAGCUACUCAGGAGGCUGAGACAGGAGAAUUGCUUGAACCCGGGAGGCAGAGGUUGCAGUGAGCCAAGAUCGCGCCACUGCACUCCAGACUGGGCAACAGAGCGAGACCCUGUCUUAAAAAAAAAAAAAAAAAAGCGAGCAAGGAUCCCAUGGCCAGCAAGAUCCAAACCAGGAAAGGUGCAGCUCUUCAGAGAUAGGCAUGUGCAUUAGAGAGAAAAAGUAUCCUUAGCAGGACUUCAUAUGAUAAUCAGCUCAUUAAAGCUCAUGCAUAUGGACUGCAUAUCAUGCAUGUACUUAAAAUUAUGGGAUGGAGGCAACAUUCAAGCACACAAGGGCCAAAGUAACAAAGCAACCCACCUAUCAAUCAAAAGGCAAACACUGGCUAAAGAUUAGGCAUCCUUGGCCGGGCACAGUGGCUCAUGCCUGUAAUCCCAGCACUUUGCGAGGCCGAGGCGGGCGGAUCAUGAGGUCAGGAGAUCGAGACCAUCCUGGCUAACAUGGUGAAACCCCGUCUCUACUAAAAAUACAAAAAAAUUAGCUGGGCGUGGUGGCGGGCGCCUGUAGUCCCAGCUGCUGGGAAGGCUGAGGCAGGAGAAUGGCGUGAACCCGUGAGGCAGAGCUUGCAGUGAGCCGGGAUCGUGCCACUGCACUCCAGCCUGGGUGACAGAGCGAGACUCCGUCUCACACACACACACAUACAAAAAAAAAAAAAAAAAGAUUAGGCAUCCUUGUGAAGAGAAGAAAACACACACACACACACACACACACACACACACACACACACACACACACACAGACCCCAAGUACACCAAACUAAUACCGAUCUAAUCUCCCAGAGGUCAGCCCACCCUCCCCACUCUGAGAGUGUUACUGUGCUUAAUAAACUUUUGCUUUGCUUUGC